UUGGAGGGCAAGUCUGGUGCCAGCAGCCGCGGUAAUUCCAGCUCCAAUAGCGUAUAUUAAAGUUGUUGCAGUUAAAAAGCUCGUAGUUGAAUUUCAGGGUUUGUCUAUCGGUCGGGCUUCACUGUCCGCACUGAUUUGAUGGAUCCUUACCUUCUGAAUAGCCAUCAUGCCAUUAAUUUGGUGCGUUGGGGAAGCAGAGCUAUUACCUUGAAAAAAUUAGAGUGCUUAAAGCAGGCCAGUGCUUGAAUAGAUUAGCAUGGAAUAAUAAAAUAGGACGGCAUGGUUCUAUUUUGUUGGUUUCUAGGAUCACCGUAAUGAUUAAUAGGGAUAGUUGGGGGCAUUAGUAUUCAAUUGUCAGAGGUGAAAUUCUUGGAUUUAUUGAAGACUAACUACUGCGAAAGCAUUUGCCAAGGAUGUUCUCAUUAAUCAAGAACGAAAGUUAGGGGAUCGAAGACGAUCAGAUACCGUCGUAGUCUUAACCACAAGCUAUGCCGACUAGGGAUCGGGCGAAGUUAAUUUUUAAAUGACUCGUUCGGCGCCUUACGGGAAAC
RNAcentral lists this ribosomal RNA (551 nucleotides) under uncultured Acaulospora. Its description in RNAcentral is "SSU rRNA". It matches the Rfam family "Eukaryotic small subunit ribosomal RNA", at positions 548 to 1098 of the family's 1831-position model. The record is from RNAcentral. Lineage: Eukaryota; Fungi; Glomeromycota; Glomeromycetes; Diversisporales; Acaulosporaceae.